GAUCCUGGCUCAGGAUGAACGCUGGCGGCGUGCUUAACACAUGCAAGUCGAACGGGAAAUAUUUCAUUGAGACUUCGGUGGAUUUGAUUUAUUUCUAGUGGCGGACGGGUGAGUAACGCGUGGGUAACCUGCCUUAUACAGGGGGAUAACAGUCAGAAAUGGCUGCUAAUACCGCAUAAGCGCACAGAGCUGCACGACUCAGUGUGAAAAACUCCGGUGGUAUAAGAUGGACCCGCGUUGG
RNAcentral lists this ribosomal RNA (241 nucleotides) under uncultured bacterium. Its description in RNAcentral is "partial 16S ribosomal RNA". It matches the Rfam family "Bacterial small subunit ribosomal RNA", at positions 15 to 239 of the family's 1533-position model. The record is from RNAcentral.